Molecule: ribosomal RNA, 497 nt
Filed under: uncultured bacterium
Lineage: Bacteria
Description: partial 16S ribosomal RNA
Rfam family: Bacterial small subunit ribosomal RNA
Source: RNAcentral
GAUGAACGCUGGCGGCGUGCCUAAUACAUGCAAGUCGAGCGAACAGACGAGGAGCUUGCUCCUCUGACGUUAGCGGCGGACGGGUGAGUAACACGUGGAUAACCUACCUAUAAGACUGGGAUAACUUCGGGAAACCGGAGCUAAUACCGGAUAAUAUAUUGAACCGCAUGGUUCAAUAGUGAAAGACGGUUUUGCUGUCACUUAUAGAUGGAUCCGCGCCGCAUUAGCUAGUUGGUAAGGUAACGGCUUACCAAGGCGACGAUGCGUAGCCGACCUGAGAGGGUGAUAGGCCACACUGGAACCGAGACACGGUCCAGACUCCUACGGGAGGCAGCAGUAGGGAAUCUUCCGCAAUGGGCGAAAGCCUGACGGAGCAACGCCGCGUGAGUGAUGAAGGUCUUCGGAUCGUAAAACUCUGUUAUUAGGGAAGAACAAAUGUGUAAGUAACUAUGCACGUCUUGACGGUACCUAAUCAGAAAGCCACGGCUAACUACGUG